Molecule: ribosomal RNA, 406 nt
Filed under: uncultured bacterium
Lineage: Bacteria
Description: partial 16S ribosomal RNA
Rfam family: Bacterial small subunit ribosomal RNA
Source: RNAcentral
AUUGAACGCUGGCGGCAGGCCUAACACAUGCAAGUCGGGCGAGUGGCGGACGGGUGAGUAAUGUAUGGGGAACUGCCUGAUGGCGGGGGAUAACUACUGGAAACGGUAGCUAAUACCGCAUACCGGCAGAGGAGCUCAUGUGAGAUUCGCUUGUGGGGGUGGUAACGGCUCACCUAGGCGACGAUCCCUAGCGGGGCUGAGAGGAUGAUCGGCCACACUGGGACUGAGACACGGCCCAGACUCCUACGGGAGGCAGCAGUGGGGAAUAUUCGGCAAUGGGCGAAAGCCUGACGCAGCAAUGCCGCGUGUAUGAAGAAGGUCUUCGGGUUGUAAAAUUCGUUCGUUAGGGAGGCGGUACCUACCCAUGAAGCCACGGCUAACUCCGUGCCAGCAGCCGCGGUAAUAC